GAUGAACGCUGGCGGCGUGCCUAAUACAUGCAAGUCGAGCGAACGGACGAGAAGCUUGCUUCUCUGAUGUUAGCGGCGGACGGGUGAGUAACACGUGGAUAACCUACCUAUAAGACUGGGAUAACUUCGGGAAACCGGAGCUAAUACCGGAUAAUAUUUUGAACCGCAUGGUUCAAAAGUGAAAGACGGUCUUGCUGUCACUUAUAGAUGGAUCCGCUCUGCAUUAGCUAGUUGGUAAGGUAACGGCUUACCAAGGCAACGAUGCAUAGCCGACCUGAGAGGGUGAUCGGCCACACUGGAACUGAGACACGGUCCAGACUCCUACGGGAGGCAGCAGUAGGGAAUAUUCCGCAAUGGGCGAAAGCCUGACGGAGCAACGCCGCGUGAGUGAUGAAGGUCUUCGGAUCGUAAAACUCUGUUAUUAGGGAAGAACAUAUGUGUAAGUAACUGUGCACAUCUUGACGGUACCUAAUCAGAAAGCCACGGCUAACUACGUG
RNAcentral lists this ribosomal RNA (497 nucleotides) under uncultured bacterium. RNAcentral describes it as "partial 16S ribosomal RNA". It matches the Rfam family "Bacterial small subunit ribosomal RNA", at positions 28 to 507 of the family's 1533-position model. The record is from RNAcentral.